AGUUGAUUGUUUCGAAAAUAUAAAAGAAAAAAUAAUAGAUUAUAAGAAACUAAGAAAGAAGCAUAGAAAUAAUAAUAAAAGUACUUUUUAUUAAUCAAAUAAAGAAGCAUACAUAAAGAAAAUAAAUAAAAUUACAAUACAAGAUAACUAAAUCAAGUUGAUCUUCUUGCUGCAUCCGAUGGUGGAUGUGUCUCUUUGAAUCCU
RNAcentral lists this long non-coding RNA (204 nucleotides) under Elaeis guineensis (African oil palm). RNAcentral's name for it is "long non-coding RNA (EGUI_LNC072546)". The record is from RNAcentral. Lineage: Eukaryota; Viridiplantae; Streptophyta; Magnoliopsida; Arecales; Arecaceae.